Long non-coding RNA from Passer domesticus (house sparrow), 967 nucleotides. RefSeq lists it as uncharacterized. Lineage: Eukaryota; Metazoa; Chordata; Aves; Passeriformes; Passeridae. The transcript is spliced from 3 exons. The record is from RefSeq and is a predicted model, not a curated record.
GAGGCAAAAAUAUUGUGAUAUUUCUGCAGAUGAUACCAUGGUAACAUCAAGGGUGAUGCUGGGACCUAGGCAGGUUGAGAGAGACCAUAUAAUUCUCAGUCUGGAUCAGUCUUUGGGGAUCUUUGUUUCCAAAGAGCAUCACAAGGGGUGGCCAUUGAGUUACUAAGGCUGGUGGUGGAAGCCCACUGGUGUAAAGGUACAGACAAUGGUUCAGAAAAAUGUGUUCCCCAAGGUGGUGUGUGAGCCACCUUGCAGAUCCACACUCUACCUCCAGAAGGCUACUGUGAUGUAUCCUUACCAGCUGUGAAGACAAGAAGCACAGAAGGAAGGAUAUCACAGAAAACCAAAGGAGAAGUAUCCAUGGAAACAGGAGAUCUUAUUGAGAGUGUCAGCAGAUAUGUUUUUGAAGAGCAGAUUUCCUCUGCACAGAAGUCAGGAAAACCAAAUGCCAUCCCACUGGACAAAACAAUCUUUCAGAUGAGCCUGGAGAGCUUCAGAGAUGAAGAUCACCCUCGUUCUCCAUGUGCAGCUUACAAUUAUAGUGGAGCAUAUGGCAAUGCAGAGGAGCAGUCAAGGUCCAGACCCCUGGGAUGAGUGUAGCUGCAGUCCUACAUCAGUGAAACCAAAUGACUUAUGGCAGAGAUGGCUCUGGUCCCAGGAGACAUCUGCUGCCUUGCUGGGGAAAGCUGUGGUGACUGCACAGAGCUGGCUGAUCAGAGCAGCAGAGCCCAGCUCAGACCUGUAGCCAAAAGUGUGCUUGGAAAUGCAGUGAGUAGCAUCAACAGGCACACCUUUUGAGUGCCUGCAGUAGUGCCUAGAAGCAGUUGAACCCAGACUAUGUAUCAGUAGUUUUCUGCACUGUUCUGGGGCAAUGGAAUAAAGGAAAACAAGACUGUUGCCAGAAUGGCCAUAUUUCCUUGCACUUCUACUAAGAGAUCUUUCCCUGUUACUCAAGGUGUUGCCAUCC